GACGAACGCUGGCGGCGUGCUUAACACAUGCAAGUCGAACGGAAAGGCCCUGCUUUUGUGGGGUGCUCGAGUGGCGCGCGGGUGAGUAACACGUGAGUAACCUGCCCUUGACUUUGGGAUAACUUCAGGAAACUGGGGCUAAUACCGGAUAGGAGCUCCUGCUGCAUGGUGGGGGUUGGAAAGUUUCGGCGGUUGGGGAUGGACUCGCGGCUUAUCAGCUUGUUGGUGGGGUAGUGGCUUACCAAGGCUUUGACGGGUAGCCGGCCUGAGAGGGUGACCGGCCACAUUGGGACGGAGAUACGGCCCAGACUCCUACGGGAGGCAGCAGUGGGGAAUAUUGCACAAUGGGCGGAAGCCGGAUGCAGCAACGCCGCGUGCGGGAUGACGGCCUUCGGGUUGUAAACCGCUUUCGCCUGUGACGAAGCGUGAGUGACGGUAAUGGGUAAAGAAGCACCGGCUAACUACGUG
This 468-nucleotide ribosomal RNA is filed under the name uncultured bacterium. RNAcentral describes it as "partial 16S ribosomal RNA". It matches the Rfam family "Bacterial small subunit ribosomal RNA", at positions 28 to 507 of the family's 1533-position model. The record is from RNAcentral.